Molecule: ribosomal RNA, 119 nt
Filed under: Pteropus alecto (black flying fox)
Lineage: Eukaryota; Metazoa; Chordata; Mammalia; Chiroptera; Pteropodidae
Source: RNAcentral
CACUACGGCCACGCCACCCUGAAUGUGCCUGACCUCAUCAGAUCUUGGAAGCUAAGCAGGGUUGAGCCUGGUUAGUACUUGGAUGGGAGACCAGCUAGGAAGACUGGGUGCUGCAGGCG